GAUGAACGCUGGCGGCGUGCCUAAUACAUGCAAGUCGAGCGAACAGACGAGGAGCUUGCUCCUCUGACGUUAGCGGCGGACGGGUGAGUAACACGUGGAUAACCUACCUAUAAGACUGGGAUAACUUCGGGAAACCGGAGCUAAUACCGGAUAAUAUAUUGAACCGCAUGGUUCAAUAGUGAAAGACGGUUUUGCUGUCACUUAUAGAUGGAUCCGCGCCGCAUUAGCUAGUUGGUAAGGUAACGGCUUACCAAGGCAACGAUGCGUAGCCGACCUGAGAGGGUGAUCGGCCACACUGGAACUGAGACACGGUCCAGACUCCUACGGGAGGCAGCAGUAGGGAAUCUUCCGCAAAGGGCGAAAGCUUGACGGAGCAACGCCGCGUGAGUGGUGAAGGUCUUCGGAUCGUAAAACUCUGUUAUUAGGGAAGAACAAAUGUGUAAGUAACUAUGCACGUCUUGACGGUACCUAAUCAGAAAGCCACGGCUAACUACGUG
This 497-nucleotide ribosomal RNA is filed under the name uncultured bacterium. Its description in RNAcentral is "partial 16S ribosomal RNA". It matches the Rfam family "Bacterial small subunit ribosomal RNA", at positions 28 to 507 of the family's 1533-position model. The record is from RNAcentral.